Molecule: long non-coding RNA, 978 nt
Organism: Lathyrus oleraceus (garden pea)
Lineage: Eukaryota; Viridiplantae; Streptophyta; Magnoliopsida; Fabales; Fabaceae
Exons: 2
Source: RefSeq, a predicted model, not a curated record
CUCGUUUGGGCUUCGGGCCCAAACAUCCACGACAUCACCAUGGCGACCCGAACCCAACCCUUCAUCUUAUCUUCAGCGACGCCCAGGUCUCCUCAUGUUCAAGAUGCGCGAAAAUCCAAUACUCGACCCGCCAGAUCUUCUUCUUCCAUACGCAACAAUGGCGCUAAACAGUGGUGAGUCCGACGACGCAGCAACACAGACGACGGAUUCCACGUUCAAAAUGCAUAAAAAAAACCCGUCCUUCAAUCGACCGAAACCGAGUCCAAGCACAACUCCGUCCGCUUUCAAAAUGGAUGUGGAAUGCAAUACUGAUAGAAUUCUGUUUCUGUUUUAGUGUGGUGAGGUUAGGUGUGUUGAAGAGAGAAGAAGCUGUGUUGAAGGUGAAGAAAAUGGAAUCAGAGUGAAGAAGAUAGAAGGUGACGAGAAGAUGAAAAAAUGAGAGAGAGUGAAGGUGGUGAGAAGAUGGCGUUUCUGGUUUUUUGCAGAUUUGUUGAAGGUUCCUCCUUCACUGAUAUCUGUUGGAGGAGUUAUAAACAUGGUGAUGGUGGAUAUGAGUUGUUGUUGAUGAACGAUGGAGUGAGGUUUGGUAUUAUGUGGAUUGAAGGUUGAAGAAGAUGGAGUGAGUAAAGAUAGAAGGUGAAGAGAAGAUGGAAGAAAAACAAGCCCAAAAAAAUAUGAACCGUGAAGAAUGACUUAGACUGGCUGUAAGAUGAUGGUAUACGACAUGCGGCCUCGGGUGCAGCAUCCUAGCAUGGUGGAUCUUUGACACAGUUAUGCAGUGUAUCGAAAUUGGACGUGGCUUUGGACAACUUGAACUGUUUUGGAUUUCAUUUGUAGAAUUAAAAUGUAAUUUGGAAAUUUUAGUAUAUAUAGUGUGAAGUUACCAUUGUAACUUGGUUGCACAUGAAGCAUCUUGUAAAAAAUGAUUGGAAUUUGAAUGCUUUGGAUGAAGAGAAAAUAAAUUGGAGAAUUUGUGAA